AUGGCCGUUUCCUCUUGUUUCCCGUUGGCUGCUCGCUGUAGCCUCUUGCUCACCGCAGCGCUGGUCCUAGCGCUGAGCCAUGGAGCCCAUGGUCAUGCCGGUGCCGGUGCUGGGUUGAGCUCGUCCUUUUACGACGACUCGUGCCCCAGUGCGCAUGACAUUGUCCGGCGCGUCAUCCAGAAUGCCCGUGUCGCCGACGCACGCAUCCCAGCCAGCCUCAUCCGCCUCCACUUCCACGACUGCUUUGUUCAGGGCUGUGAUGGCUCACUUUUGCUGGACAACGACCUCCCGGCGAUCAUGACCGAGAAGGAGGUCCUUGCCAACAACAGGUCAGUGCGCGGGUUUGAUGUGAUUGACGACAUCAAGCAUGCACUCGAGAAUGCGUGCCCCGGCAUCGUGUCUUGUGCCGACAUUCUCGCUCUCGCCUCCGAGAUCUCAGUCGAGCUAGCUGGAGGGCCUCGCUGGAGUGUGCCGUUGGGCCGCCGUGAUGGCACGGCCACCAAUGUUGAGAGCGCCAACAAUCUCCCAAGCCCCUUCGACUCUCUGCAGACGCUCUAG
This 558-nucleotide ribosomal RNA is filed under the name Triticum aestivum (bread wheat). RNAcentral's name for it is "partial small subunit ribosomal RNA". The record is from RNAcentral. Lineage: Eukaryota; Viridiplantae; Streptophyta; Magnoliopsida; Poales; Poaceae.